This is a small nucleolar RNA of Callithrix jacchus (white-tufted-ear marmoset), 99 nucleotides long. The record is from Ensembl. Lineage: Eukaryota; Metazoa; Chordata; Mammalia; Primates; Cebidae.
AUCCUUUCACAGUUCCUAAGCACGAUGAUUGGAUAUUCAUACUUGUGUAUGAAAUGUCCCUUUUUCUAAACCUCAUGUCAGCACGUUACUCAUCUGAUG